ACAUCAAAAAUACAAAUAAUAUAAGGAACAUCAAAUUUUUGUUAGUUAAAUGAAACGUGGAACCCGACUACGAAAUUAAACAGCGCAAAAAAUUGGUACUCGGAACGUGUUCUAAAUUAUUACGUUAUUUCGAAAAAAUCAGCGCGACCAGUCUCAGACAAAAGUAUCCACAAAAUUCGUCUGCAGCGUCCAUUAACUUGAUCAGCUGCUCAACCUCAUUACAAUUUGUUCAAAAAAAAAUAAUAAUAAUAAAAAAAAACCAUGUCGACUGCCCAAGUCUCAAUAGCAGCGUCUGCAUCAGCAGUAGCCACUUAGUUACGGGGAAUGUCAUUUCCGAGUGUCGGCAAUGACGUCUCUUGGACUAAUAGGUGGACUCUAUCUCGUCCCACCUGUACCAACACCUGGGCCAAAAGACAACCAUGCGCACCAUCCAGCCCAAAACUACACUAGAGUCGUCAGCUCUACCAGGACCAUCCAGGAGAUGCCAUGAUCGCUGCUUGGACCUCAUAUCAAAUGCAUCAACUCUUGACACGAACUUUGAACAGAUCUAGCAGAUCUAGCAUACCUAGAAAUCCAUAACAGCGUCUGCAUCAGCAGCAUUACCAAGUGUCGGUAAUGACAGCUCAAGAACUCCUGUGUACUUAUCCUUAUGCCGUCGGGACGAAGAGCUGAGCUAAAACCCAACCGUGCACACCUUCCAGGCCGAGCCCAGACUGCAUUGAGUGGAGUUCAAUCAUAAUCAUCGGGAAUUAUGAGACGCACCUAUACAGAUCCAGUAAGAGGGAUUAUUUGGCUUUGCUCAUGCACAUCUUGACAUUCUCAUCCAGCAGCGCGCCCAGUCUCAGACAAAAGUAUCCACAACAUUUGUCUGCGGCAUCUAUUAACCUCAAUCUCAAUUCCAUUUCAUAAAGUCUUGGCUCGCACUUCAAGUAGAACAGGCAGCACUUCCAAUGUCGACUGCCUAAGGAUCAAUAGCAGCGUCUGCAUCAGCAGCAGCCACGAUGUCAGAGUAAUGCCGUUUCCGAGUGUCGGCAAUGGCAUCUCUAUGACUACUCGAAGUACUUUCUCUCAUCCCACCAGGACUCUAACUCCUGGUCCAAAACACAACCUUGCGCGCCAUCCAGCCGAAAACCACACCAAACUGCAGCAUCCAUCAAAGUGAUCCGCUGCUCAUCUCAUUGCGAGUUAAGCAAUUCUUGGCUAGGACGUCUACUAUAGCAGGCUCAGAUCCAGGAUUAGCAGUGCAGUCACUGGAAUUCUCUUCUUGGACUACUGGCUAUACUCUUUUUCGUCCCUCCUGAACUGACACUUGAUAGUUUUGCAUCAAUAAAAAAAUUCUUUCCCAUAAAAAAUUAUAUAAUAUGGAA
Molecule: long non-coding RNA, 1367 nt
Organism: Scaptodrosophila lebanonensis
Lineage: Eukaryota; Metazoa; Arthropoda; Insecta; Diptera; Drosophilidae
Exons: 2
Source: RefSeq, a predicted model, not a curated record